UGGGGAAUAUUGCACAAUGGGCGCAAGCCUGAUGCAGCCAUGCCGCGUGUGUGAAGAAGGCCUUCGGGUUGUAAAGCACUUUCAGCGAGGAGGAAGGUGGUGAGCUUAAUACGCUCAUCAAUUGACGUUACUCGCAGAAGAAGCACCGGCUAACUCCGUGCCAGCAGCCGCGGUAAUACGGAGGGUGCAAGCGUUAAUCGGAAUUACUGGGCGUAAAGCGCACGCAGGCGGUUUGUUAAGUCAGAUGUGAAAUCCCCGGGCUCAACCUGGGAACUGCAUUUGAAACUGGCAAGCUAGAGUCUCGUAGAGGGGGGUAGAAUUCCAGGUGUAGCGGUGAAAUGCGUAGAGAUCUGGAGGAAUACCGGUGGCGAAGGCGGCCCCCCUGGACGAAGACUGACGCUCAGGUGCGAAAGCGUGGGGAGCAAACAGAUUAGAUACCCUGGUAGUCCACGCUGUAAACGAUGUCGAUUUUGGAGGUUGUGCCCCUUGAGGCGUGGCUUCCGGAGCUAACGCGUUAAAUCGACCGCCUGGGGGAGUACGGCCGCAAGGUU
Molecule: ribosomal RNA, 551 nt
Filed under: uncultured bacterium
Lineage: Bacteria
Description: partial 16S ribosomal RNA
Rfam family: Bacterial small subunit ribosomal RNA
Source: RNAcentral